RNA transcript from Mercenaria mercenaria, 2180 nucleotides. It is a transcript of the gene named dynein axonemal heavy chain 17-like, with no coding region annotated. The record is from RefSeq and is a predicted model, not a curated record. NCBI's taxonomy places the organism in Eukaryota, Metazoa, Mollusca, Bivalvia, Venerida, Veneridae. The transcript is spliced from 5 exons.
UCUAAUAGAUAAACAAUGUCUCAAUAGGUUAUUGAUUCCCCGUCGAAGUAGAGCAACUAUUUAUAGCAAUUACACCUAGCUAAAGUUCAAUAUAAAUACGAUAGAUUUAUAUGCAAAAUAACUAUACUUGCAGACUUUCCACCUCACUUUAGGUUGGUGCUUUCACAAAUUAAGAACACACAGAGUCUCUUUUCCUCACGGACGAUACAACAAUGGAAGCUUCCGGAACGCCAGUGGAUUAUGACAGAAUGUCUAUUAUUUCCCGAGCAAGCACUGCUGUAUCACAGCUACCUAAAAAGGACUUUCAGGAAAUGAAAAGUUUUGCUAACCCACCUGUAGCUGUAAUAGAUGUGUUGUCAGCCUCCAUGUUAUUAUUAGGGCAUAAGGAUUCAGAAACUAAUUGGAAAAUGAUUAAAAGUUGUCUUGGAAAAACCGGGAAAGAAUCGGUACAAGAGAGAGUGGCAGCCCUUGACGUGGAGAAAAUACCAGAGAAGAAUCUAAAGAAGGCCAAAGAUAUACUGGCAAAAUAUGAUUUAAACGGGAUAGCAAACGUCAGUCAAGCAUUAAAGGAAUUAUAUAUUUGGGCUGGUGCCGUGACAGACGACUAGGUGAAAAUAAAGUGCUUCAUGUAAAAUAUGCAAUAAGGGGAUGUUAUUGAUAAGCUUUCAAACAAAAGUACGAAACAAUACAGUCUUAGAGGAAACUAAAGGGCGUUCCAUAUAUAAUGUUUCUACGAUAAUUGUUCAAAACUUUUCUUGUGUACAAGGACAGAACAGAACAGUUAUAUACUUUGCCAGAGUGCAAUAUUGGUUGAUCUACAUUUGUAUUGAAUAAAAGUAUAAUAUAUCUGAACGGGUUUCAAAAUAAAUAACUAAAGGGAAGGACAGUCUCUAAUGUUGUCAGAAUUUGCCGUCCGAUCAUUUUGCCCUUUGAUUAUAUAUGUUGAAAUGGCAAAAUGCUAGGAUAAAUAGAUCUGCUUUUACGCUGAGUGCAACAGCAUCUAGACAUUGUAAGGAUUUUAACACUUUGCAUACAUUGAUUGUAACAUGGAUUGUAACUUUAAUAUUUAUCAGUGGUAACAGUGCUAUACAGACCACCACCAACAAAAGAAAGUGGCGUUAAUGUAAGCGUGUUUUAGAUAUAACAAAAAAAUGACAUAUGUUUCCGGCCAGAUAUGGAACACUUGAUAAGGACAUUAAAAUGCACAUACCCGCUAAUAUCCAUUGUAAUAUAGUCACCUAAAUCUCAUAUUCUCUUUCCGUCUUCCCUGUAUGUUACACUUAUAUAAGUAUUAUAAUGUCAUAUUAUGAAUUUCAGAUACAGACAUGUAAAAUAAUGUAAUUUGUGUAAUGUUUUGAAUACAUGUAUGAAAUAAUAACAGUGGAGACCUCAGUUUUUAUCUUGACAUUCCAUCAGAUCGAAAUGCCACAAUAUUUGUCAGAGUUGUUGUGGCGGUUGAAUUGUUCAUACAAAGUUGAAAGAAUACCUAGCACUUUUUCCCACUUACUGUGGACUUAAUCAACAGAUUGAUUUGUUACAUGUGUGAUAUUCAGUGUAUCUGGCGUGACUGUAACGAUUGUCGUCCCUGCACAUUUACAAGUGUUUUUCAGUUAUUUCGAUGUUGAGGAUAACAUUGUAUCUUCAAUUAGAAAAUGACGCAUAUUCUUUCAAGCAGGACUUUUUGCGUCUAUUGCACUAAAAAAACUCCCCCAGGCACAGGUGGAUCAGCUGGUGAGUGCAUAUAUAAAUGGAUGAUGAGAACAUAGUCAUCUCCACACUUCGACCCUACAGACGAACUAAAUGAUGUUAAACAUUUAAAAGGCAAACCGGAGUGCAAGUACUUACAAUCGAUUAUUACAUUAACAGAGAUCAAUGUUUAAAUGUUCAGAAGCCUGUAUGAAAUUUGCAUACUGGUUAAAUAGUGAAAUAUUUGAUACCCGUAUGUCCAAAAGGCAGUAGUUCGAAUUAUCAUUAGAACAUCGCACCACGUACAGUCAUAUUACAACUGUUCAGAAGUAGUUACUCAUUUGGUUACCCGGGAAAUACAAAACCCAGUACUAAAUAGCGACCAUACCAACAGCCGCAAUGUAAUCUACAAUACGGAAGCAUAGAAUGGUACGGAACCACACUUGAAUGCGAAAGAAUAUGAAUUAUAAGUAAUAGAAAAUUCCUUGCAAAAU